GGCCGCGUGGCCUAAUGGCUAAGGCGCUAGAUUUCGGCUCCCAUCAUCACUGAACUCUCUAGAGAUUCCAGGUUCGACUCCUGGCGUGGUCG
This is a non-coding RNA of Claviceps sorghi, 92 nucleotides long. Lineage: Eukaryota; Fungi; Ascomycota; Sordariomycetes; Hypocreales; Clavicipitaceae. The record is from the annotation of a GenBank genome assembly.